AUUGAACGCUGGCGGCAGGCCUAACACAUGCAAGUCGAGCGGAUGAAGGGAGCUUGCUCCUGGAUUCAGCGGCGGACGGGUGAGUAAUGCCUAGGAAUCUGCCUGAUAGUGGGGGAUAACGUCCGGAAACGGGCGCUAAUACCGCAUACGUCCUGAUGGAGAAAGUGGGGGAUCUUCGGACCUCACGCUAUCAGAUGAGCCUAGGACGGAUUAGCUAGUUGGUGGGGUAAAGGCCUACCAAGGCGACGAUCCGUAACUGGUCUGAGAGGAUGAUCAGUCACACUGGAACUGAGACACGGUCCAGACUCCUACGGGAGGCAGCAGUGGGGAAUCUUCGACAAUGGGCGAAAGCCUGAUCCAGCCAUGCCGCGUGUGUGAAGAAGGUCUUCGGAUUGUAAAGCACUUUAAGUUGGGAGGAAGGGCAGUAAGUUAAUACCUUGCUGUUUUGACGUUACCAACAGAAUAAGCACCGGCUAACUUCGUG
RNAcentral lists this ribosomal RNA (484 nucleotides) under uncultured bacterium. RNAcentral describes it as "partial 16S ribosomal RNA". It matches the Rfam family "Bacterial small subunit ribosomal RNA", at positions 30 to 507 of the family's 1533-position model. The record is from RNAcentral.